GCGCCUGUAGCUCAAUGGAUAGAGCAACAGCCUUCUAAGCUGAAGGUUGAAGGUUCGAGUCCUUCCAGGCGCGCCA
This 76-nucleotide transfer RNA is filed under the name Deltaproteobacteria bacterium. RNAcentral describes it as "tRNA-Arg". It matches the Rfam family "tRNA". From Rfam's summary of the family: Transfer RNA (tRNA) molecules are approximately 80 nucleotides in length. The record is from RNAcentral. Lineage: Bacteria; Pseudomonadati; Myxococcota; Myxococcia.